This 641-nucleotide ribosomal RNA is filed under the name uncultured Cryptococcus. RNAcentral's name for it is "eukaryotic LSU rRNA". The stretch from base 196 to 349 matches the Rfam family "5.8S ribosomal RNA". Lineage: Eukaryota; Fungi; Basidiomycota; Tremellomycetes. The record is from RNAcentral.
UCCGUAGGUGAACCUGCGGAAGGAUCAUUAGUGAAUUAAACAUGCUUGGUGUCUUCGCUUCGGCAAGGCCCUUGCUUAACUCACAUCCCAACACCUGUGAACUGUAAGGCGCAUGACUAGGUUCGCCCAAGUCAUCGUCUGCCCUUUUUAACAAACAAUUAAUGUAACAAACGUAGUCUUAUUAUAACCUAAUAAAACUUUCAACAACGGAUCUCUUGGCUCUCGCAUCGAUGAAGAACGCAGCGAAAUGCGAUAAGUAAUGUGAAUUGCAGAAUUCAGUGAAUCAUCGAAUCUUUGAACGCACCUUGCGCUCUUUGGUAUUCCGAAGAGCAUGCCUGUUUGAGUGUCAUGAAAAUAUCAACCUUGACUUGGGUUUUGUGCUCUAGUCUCGGCUUGGAAUUGGGUGCUUGCCGCUUUUACGAGCGGCUCACCUUAAAUGUAUUAGCUGGAUCUGUCUUUGAGACUUGGUUUGACUUGGCGUAAUAAGUAUUUCGCUAAGGACAUUCUUCGGAGUGGCCUCGUUUCUAGGACGCUUGUCCGCUUUCCAAUACAAGUUCCACCUCGUGGACAUGACUUUUUAUUAUCUGGCCUCAAAUCAGGUAGGACUACCCGCUGAACUUAAGCAUAUCAAUAAGCGGAGG